Molecule: ribosomal RNA, 460 nt
Filed under: uncultured bacterium
Lineage: Bacteria
Description: partial 16S ribosomal RNA
Rfam family: Bacterial small subunit ribosomal RNA
Source: RNAcentral
CCUACGGGAGGCAGCAGUGAGGAAUAUUGGUCAAUGGACGAGAGUCUGAACCAGUCAAGUAGCGUGAAGGAUGACUGUCCUAUGGGUUGUCACCUUCUUUUAUAUGGGAGUAAAAUGUUCCACGUGUGGAGUUUUGUAUGUACCAUAUGAAUAAGGGUCGGCUAACUCCGUGCCAGCAGCCGCGGUAAUACGAAGGAUCCGAGCGUUAUCCGGAUUUAUUGGGUUUAGAGGGAGCGUAGGUGGAUUGUUAAGUCAGUUGUGAAAGUUUGCGGCUCAACCGUAAAAUUGCAGUUGAAACUGGCAGUCUUGAGUACAGGAGAGGUUGGCGGAAUUCGUGGUGUAGCGGUGAAAUGCUUAGAUAUCACGAAGAACUCCGAUUGCGAAGGCAGCUCACUGGCCUGUAACUGACACUGAGGCGCGAAAGUGUGGGUAUCAAACAGGAUUAGAUACCCCUGUAGUC